Otolemur garnettii (small-eared galago) is the source of this 115-nucleotide small nuclear RNA. NCBI's taxonomy places the organism in Eukaryota, Metazoa, Chordata, Mammalia, Primates, Galagidae. The record is from Ensembl.
GUGUUGUAUGAAAGGAGAGAAGGUUAGCACUCCCCUUGACAAGGAUGGAAGAGGCCCUCAGGCCUGACAGUUAAGGCAUGGCCACCUACUUCGUGGCAUCUAACUAUUGUUUUUU